RNA transcript from Oncorhynchus mykiss (rainbow trout), 4658 nucleotides. RefSeq lists it as uncharacterized. Lineage: Eukaryota; Metazoa; Chordata; Actinopteri; Salmoniformes; Salmonidae. The record is from RefSeq and is a predicted model, not a curated record.
GUCUGUUUGUAUUGGGAAAUUAAGAUGCCGGUGGUUUAUCACACUCGAGAGGUUCGUCCUACAAAUGUCGAGCAUUACUCAGUCGCACAUUUGAGACGUUCAUCUCUGGUGAAAUGGUAAACACAGAAACAGACCCACUAGUGACAGAUGGCGUGUGUGACCUGCAGACAGGGCAGUGCAAUGUUCCCGUCUAGCGACUGGCAUAUGUUACUGCAGUCAAAACAGUCCACUGCAGAUUUGAUUGGGAGUCAGAAAAUAAGCUUGGAAGUUCAUUUGAUUACGUAAGAAAGAGAGACAGGGAGAGAGACACAUAGAGACAGACAGACAGACACACCCACACACACACACACACAAACACAGGAUUAACAAAAGAACACCAUCUGUCAGCCCAACUCCAGCCCACACAAAACAUCCCAUUGAAAUACAGUGGAGGAUCUGUACUCUACAUACCAGCACUAGAAUAGGCCAACCAGCCAAUCCUCCCUUCCCCAUAGCAAAACUUUUUUUUUAACAGAAAAUGAAAAACAAGCAGUUCUUAUUGGACAAGUUCAUGUAGUGCUUCCCUGUUUCACUCUGUUUUCUUCCGUUCUGUGAUGUAUGAACAUGACCCUAGCCUAUCUAAUGGGUUUCAGGAAGGCUGGCUGUGUGUGGUGUGCUUAAUGCCUGGUAAACUGUUUAUCCGGCCUGAUCCCACCCCUAUCACAAGACUCCCGUCACUUGACUACCCUCAUUGCCCACCCCAGGGCACUCUAUAGGGAGUUAUGGAUAAUGCAGUUACUUUCUCUGCCUCUCUUUACUUCGUCUUCCGGUCUUCCUCUUGCGCUACUCUUACUGCAAGUAUUUCUUUCUGUCUCUUACCUACUCUUUCUCUUUCUUCGUCAUUCUCUGUCCGUCUGUCUGUUUGUCUGUCUCCCUCCCGUUCUCCCUUUAUUAUCUCAUGCAUAAGCUGAAAGCAUAAGUUGAAUGCAUAAGCUUUUCAGCAAGAAAUACUCAUGUAUAAAAUGCAUCAUGAUAUACUGUAGGUUACACAUACAGUGCAUCCUCUCCACUGUUUUUACUGUGUCGUCUGAAUCCACAUCUGUGGGUGUAGCCUUCAUUUUGGACAUGAUGUGUAACUUGCCUUGCUAUUUUUGAGUCGGUACAAUAUAAAUCACCGCCACCCUACAUGUCACAUUUAGUUGUUAUCUUAAAAGUAAGGCCUUCUGUGUAAAUCCAUGUCAGUUUAAGCACUACAUGGUUACCAUCCAAAUUACAUUUGGAGAGUUUGGGGUGGAAAACGUUGCUCCCAGAGUCUGGUUGGUUAGGAAGAAAGAGGACCAGAGAUAGAUGGGGAGGUAGAUUGAGGGAAUUUACAACUGACCAUCUGAGGACAAUACAAAUGACAUCUGGACACAUUGCACUUUAAGAGAGAGAAAUAAUACAGUGAGACAAAACAGUGUGGUUGACUGGGAGAGAAAGAUUGAGAAUUGGAUGGAUUGGAUUGGAUGCUGACUUGGAAGGAAGGAAAGAGAUACAAAUAUAUUUAAUUUGGGUUUGAAUGGAACAUGCUACCUAUUAACUGCUAGUGGAGUUGGUAGAAGAGAGGCUGGAGGUAUCAGGCAGGAACAUUUACCAAAACGAGAGAAGAGUUUGUAAUAUUUCUAAAGUGCCCAAGAAUCAACUUCUACAACUUCUAUGAUGUCUUCUCCACAACUGUUCCUUCUUUUCCUGUGCUGUCUUCCUUUGGCAGCAACUCUGUGCUGUUACACGUUUCCUGCCAUCUCUCCUAUGGACUGCCUCAAGUUCCCUCAGGAGUGUCCUGCCGGACAACGCUGACGAGCUAGCACAGCAGUGGAGAUGCAAGGCUCCCUGCAUCUGGUCCUGUAUGAGAAGAGCUGUGCCAGUCCCUCUCAAUGUGGUUUAUCUGGGGAGAAGCACGCUGCAUGCCUGAACUUCACCUACCAAAAUUACCGCUGUGACACGGACCUGUGCAACGAGGCUAUGGCCCAUGCUGCCCCCAUCUGGAGGGGAGGUGCACUGUGCAUCCUAGUUAUUUUCUCUCUCAUACUAAGCUGAUAUCCAAAUGUAUUGCAUUUUAUAUGUACAUUCCUCAUCAUACAGUAACAUGCACAACAUAUACUGUAAUGGGGUGAAUCCCACUAACCAAAACAAUCUCAUUAUAGACAUAGACAAUUUGACACACUGACAGUGCCUUGUUUACAUGUAGGCUUAGAACUCACAUACAAUACACACACACACACACACACACACACACACAGAAACACUCACAGAUGCAUCCUAAACAGUAGUGCACAGUCACAGUCACAUGAGGGUAGAAAUUAGUCAUAUGUCUAUUGAGACAUAUCACAGUGUUAAAAUGACAAUGAAACUAGUGGCGAAACAUAAUCCAUAUGUUGAUCAAAUCUGCAUUAAUUUAUAAGAACAUUUGUUUAAAUAAGGGUUAAUAUGACUUUCUAACAAUUCUACUUUUCUAUGGUGCUAUAUUUAGCAUAACGGUUGAAAAGGGAUUGGCAGCCAUUAAUAAACAAACAAGUAAAGAAACAGUAACCAAUUGUGGUUUUAUUUUGACCGUCUUUUCAGGAUGAUUAAAACCUACAAAAGAAAUACUAAGUCUGAUUGUCAUUGACUCAAUGUACACAACAUAAUCUAGGCGAAGUGCUAUUGCCUUCGAAUAAAAUUGAAGGUAAAGUAAAGGGCUGAAAUACGUGGAGGAAAGAAUGCAUCAAAAGUUAGGAAGAAAAUAAACAACAAAAAUGAAGAUGGGUCUUUAAAAAAAUAGGAUGGGUUUGAGGAGGGGAUAAAGAUGGAAAAUAGAUAUGUAUGAAAUGGAGACGUAAAGGUGGAUAAUACAUUAAAUAAUAAUUAAAGACGAAUGUAAAAAGUCCCUGAAGUCAUCACUAAUCUUACAGUAAAAGGAAGUUCAAAAAAAUAACUGUUACAAGCUUCAGUAAAGGAAAAUACUAGAAUACAACAGGCAACAUUGAAAUGAAGACUUGGUCUCUUUUUGACAAAUAGUUAUGACAACAGGACUAUAGACAAUUGACCGGUAAAAGUAGGUCCAUAGAAACCAAAUAAAAUCCAUAAUAUAAAGGAUUCAGUCAUGUAAAAUAGUAAUGGGUUUUAUGAAGAUUUUUCUUAUCUAUCAGCUGUGGAGGACAUGUAUGGGUUUUAAACUACAGAUUCAUCCCAUGGUUUGAUGACUCAACUGUAUAAAAUAGCUGACAUAACAAUGCCAACUCAGAUGCUAAAUAUAUUGCAAAUGACAUCUUCAUGUUUGUACUAUUCAAUAAUGUGAAUUGCACUUAGUGACUGUCUUACAAAACCUUACCCUGGAAGACAUACAAAAUAUAUAGGUUCUGUCUUCACUAAGCUGUUGUAAAUGUAUGUCAUUAUCAUGAAUGCACCAUUAUCAGUCAGGCUGAGAGCUCUAUUCAAUCUGUAUCGCUGAAUCGUUACAGAUUGUGCAAUAGAAAUUCAAAUGUAAUUUCCGAUUGAGCCGGCAUAUGCAGCAUUUACCGUGAAUGCAGUCUCCACUAACGUGGUAACAUUGCCUUUGAAUUUCAAUCACGCUGUAACGCUGACCACUGACCUAUGGAUUAAAUAGAGCCCAAACAAAUCUGUCCAGUUCUUUCCCAGGGGACUGAAUUUCAAGUCAAUGUGAUAUGGAUUACUUAUUCAAAGUCACUACACACUACAAAGCCUUAGUGCUGAACGAUUAACUGACAUUUCGUUUUUUUCCAGUUUAUUAAACAACUAAUGAACCAACGUCGGUUAAAUUACUUGAAUUCCAUUUAGUUAGUCAAAUCAUUCGGAAAUAAAUGAUGUCAAGAACUAUGUGGGACCCCGGGCUGAAGGGAGUUGUUUUCAUUUAACAAAUAUUCAACAUAGUUCAGCGCAGAAACGUCAUAAAUAAUUACAAUGACCACAAUCCAUUGCGCCAGUUUUCCCCCAGCUCAAACAGAUCAGAGGAAGAGGCCAAACGAGAGGUUUCACUUUCGCCUAAAUCUGUCCACAAUAAACCGAAUGCAAUGCGCUUGGAAUGAUUUACGCUUGUCGUUUGCCUUCCCGCAUUUGCGACGACUCUCAUUAUUAGGGCGGAGAAAUUAGCAUCUCGUCAUUGUAUACAGAUCUCAGGACGGAUACACUUUUACGCAUGCUAUGUUAGGUUAGACACACAGACUGAAUAGACCACACGAGAGAGGAAUAUACACAACACAACGACGAGAGGGACAGAGACAGUUAAUGAAAGUAUGCCUUAUCUACUUUGAAGAUCUAGUCAAAUGAUUUCGUGAGAAAGCUCUGCAGCAUACUUAGGCAGGCUAGCUAAAUAGGAUGACUAAAGACAGUAUAGUAUGGGGAGGACGUAAUGUUACAUGGCCUGGCUGGGUGAUUCCUACUGCCUGAGCAGAGAUGAGAUUAUUACUUUAAGGAAUUAAAAUUAAUAAUGUAAUCCAUUAAAAACGAAGUAAUAUACACAUUUUAUUAUUUCAUUGUAAUUUUCAAUUUUUCUAUUGACGUUUACCCAAUGUGGACCUGAUCAGAGACAAUGGAAUAUUUUAAAUGUUUUGGAAAUUCAAUGUUUACUAUUUUUGGCUUUGGAAUUUUCAUUAAAAAGCUCUAAAAUCAUUGUAAUGUCAUUAUUUCAUAAUGCAUUUCAU